RNAcentral lists this ribosomal RNA (371 nucleotides) under uncultured organism. RNAcentral describes it as "bacterial SSU rRNA". It matches the Rfam family "Bacterial small subunit ribosomal RNA", at positions 527 to 896 of the family's 1533-position model. The record is from RNAcentral.
GUAGGUGGCAAGCGUUGUCCGGAAUUAUUGGGCGUAAAGCGCGCGCAGGCGGUUCCUUAAGUCUGAUGUGAAAGCCCCCGGCUCAACCGGGGAAGGUCAUUGGAAACUGGGGAACUUGAGUGCAGAAGAGAAGAGCGGAAUUCCACGUGUAGCGGUGAAAUGCGUAGAGAUGUGGAGGAACACCAGUGGCGAAGGCGGCUCUUUGGUCUGUAACUGACGCUGAGGCGCGAAAGCGUGGGGAGCAAACAGGAUUAGAUACCCUGGUAGUCCACGCUGUAAACGAUGAGUGCUAAGUGUUAGAGGGUUUCCGCCCUUUAGUGCUGCAGCUAACGCAUUAAGCACUCCGCCUGGGGAGUACGGCCGCAAGGCUG